This 447-nucleotide long non-coding RNA is filed under the name Homo sapiens (human). RNAcentral's name for it is "HSALNT0171578". Lineage: Eukaryota; Metazoa; Chordata; Mammalia; Primates; Hominidae. The record is from RNAcentral.
GAUGGAAUUGGACAACCCAAGCUUGCUGAGUUGUGUUCAGGACCCAGCUCUGUUGGUGACAAUUCCAAUGGUUGUUGAUGCUUCUUGUUUCUAGGAGUGUUCAGUGAAGAAGGCACAGGAGUAGAGAAUCUGGUGAUUAGUAUGUAGGUGGGAGAAAAAGACAACGGGUUCAACAGGGCAUGGCAUGAGAAUGGUGGUGUUGGCUCAUGACAUCCAGGCUGAGUUGAAAAAGAAGAAAGGCCUGGUAGACAAAAGGGUAAAAGAGAGAGUCCAAAGGACUGGAGUUUCAAGAGGUUAGAGGUUUAACAUCUGAGUGUAAGGGGAUGAGGGAGCCAGAGACAAGAAGCUGGGUUUACAGAGUGAGAUUCUGGAGGGCAAAAUUUCAGGGGUAAAGCAGAUCUCAUCAGGAAAGGGCCAGAGGCCUGGUAAACAGAGUGGGCUGGUUGG